Molecule: long non-coding RNA, 1246 nt
Filed under: Malus domestica (apple)
Lineage: Eukaryota; Viridiplantae; Streptophyta; Magnoliopsida; Rosales; Rosaceae
Description: long non-coding RNA (MDOM_LNC015046)
Source: RNAcentral
CUUUAGCAACAGAAUCCACCUUAUCGCUCUUCAUAGUAGCAAGUCUCUCCAAAGGUGAACCAGACUUAGCCCCUUACGGACGUUUUGGCAUAAAUUUCAGCAUUGGGGGCACGGUAGAACUUCUAUGCUGAGCAAUCCUAUCAGCAAUCGAAUUAGCCACCUUUAGAACAGCAGACAUCACUGGCACAGAUCUAGUAACCUUAUAUUUCUCGCCAUUGGAAGAGGUCAAUUCAAUCAUAAGCCUGGGGGUAGCCAACGAACCCUCGUGAGUAGCGGAAUAAGUCUUUGGCUUUUUCUCAAUCCGCAUCUUUUGAGCAGGCGGGGAAGAUCUUUUCUUUCCACCUUUAUUCACAGUAUGCUCUACUACAGUGAUCAGAUGAGCCAAUGCCUCAGCCUUGAUUCUCUUUAUCUCUUCUCUUGGGGGCAUCUCACAUUUCUCCCGACGAAGAGGACUAAGCAGCCAAUGCCACACGGUACUCAGAAGGAAUACCUAGUGCGAUAUGCACCUUCUUUAUAUCUAGAGAAUUCCAAAUCUAGAAAAGUAGAGGAAGACUAAAUCAAAGAGCAAUUUAGCAAAAGUACAAAGCAGCCGAGGGACUAAGCAGUCUACUUACUGGAUCUGAAAACCGUCGGAACACAUAACGCGGGGGAAGAAUCAGACUCUCAUUCUCCACUUUUCUCUAAAGUUUCCUAAGCCCAAUCAUGGUCUCCCUUGCUCGAAUGGUCAAAAAGCCUAUGGCGAAAUCGUAGUUACCCAACUCCUUCAAUAUGGCCAAUGUAAAAAAAGUACCAAAAUUCGUUGAUGGUCAAAUCCAAGUCAAAGAAUUGGCUUGGAUUAAGGAACCUCACCAUCACAUGAACCGUAUUCGGAGAACAUUAAGCGGGGGCAUAUUUCAUGGAGCAGAACACUUCUUGGAAGAAACGAGACAUUGGGAAUGAAAAUCCCAACACGAAGUAGUAGGGGUGAAACUUGACAGCUCUCCGGGCCCCACUACAUGGCUCACGGUUGCUACUUUCCUUGACACGCUUCACAUGCACCCCCAACGGAAUGGUGUGCCUAUAUGCGUCAAGAAAAUCUUUAAAUGAAUCAUCGGAGUUAAUUUUGAAGUAAGCAACCUUGAAGUAACUCACCUUACUCAAAGACUCACUUUGACGAUACAAUGACGGUACACCAUCAUCACCCUUAUGGCUUGAAGAAGACAUACUCGAAAAAAAAUCUACAAAGACAUAAGGAAAAUUCGUUAGA